This 492-nucleotide ribosomal RNA is filed under the name uncultured bacterium. RNAcentral's name for it is "partial 16S ribosomal RNA". It matches the Rfam family "Bacterial small subunit ribosomal RNA", at positions 29 to 507 of the family's 1533-position model. The record is from RNAcentral.
AGUGAACGCUGGCGGUAGGCCUAACACAUGCAAGUCGAACGGCAGCACAGUAAGAGCUUGCUCUUACGGGUGGCGAGUGGCGGACGGGUGAGGAAUACAUCGGAAUCUACUUUUUCGUGGGGGAUAACGUAGGGAAACUUACGCUAAUACCGCAUACGACCUACGGGUGAAAGCAGGGGAUCUUCGUACCUUGCGCGAUUGAAUGAGCCGAUGUCGGAUUAGCUAGUUGGCGGGGUAAAGGCCCACCAAGGCGACGAUCCGUAGCUGGUCUGAGAGGAUGAUCAGCCACACUGGAACUGAGACACGGUCCAGACUCCUACGGGAGGCAGCAGUGGGGAAUAUUGGACAAUGGGCGCAAGCCUGAUCCAGCCAUACCGCGUGGGUGAAGAAGGCCUUCGGGUUGUAAAGCCCUUUUGUUGGGAAAGAAAAGCAGCAGGUUAAUACCCCGCUGUUCUGACAGUACCCAAAGAAUAAGCACCGGCUAACUUCGUG